GUUUUCUCAAUUACGCUUCUCAAAUAAGCUUCCUAUCCCUGCUUUCUACAUAUAAACAUUUCUUUCAAAGAUACUUCCAAACAACAACAGCAAAGAGAUGAGAUGUAGGUGGUUUGGAGUUAAGAUGAAGGUAGAAUCGACGGGUCCAAGAUGAAGGGGAUAACAUUGGUAUUCUGACUGGGAUUGAUGGCUACCUGUUUUACACACAAAUUUUGAGAUUUGUUUUGAGGGUGGUAAGUUGAUUUAUUCUUUUCUUUUUCCUUGUGCUACAACUUCUAGGUUAUUUGAGCAUAUUACAGUUUUUUUUUUUUUUUUUUUGGGUUAAAGAUUUUUGGGACUCUGUAAUAAACUCUUUGUAGAAUUCUUCUUUGUUGGUUCUUGAUAGAUAAAUAAAUAUUGUAUCUAUUUUUAGAGUUUUAUUUCUCUAUGCACACUUGUGUCUGGUUGAAUUCCUUUGUUUUCUUAUUUUAUUUUAUUUUUUUGGAUUUUUUUGUGUGUGUGGUUAUAUGCUUAUUUUAAUGAAGACCAAAAACUGGGGCAAAGUCUCACUCAAAUGGAUUGUGAUUCUGUGCAUUUUCAGCUUUGUACUUGGCACACUUUUCAGCAACAGGUUCUUUAAUUUUUUUCAAUUUUUUAUUUAUCUUAUGUUUUUUCUUCGUAUUUCCUCUUCAUAUUUCACAACUUCAGGAAGAAUUUUUGUUUUUCACUUCUUUAUUUCAAUUGAAGAAUUUUGUGGUUACUGUGACUUCAGAAGAACCUUUUUCCCUCAUUGGAGAAAUAGCUUGUUGUUGUUGAUUAGUUAUAUCGACUUAAUUAUCAAAUUACGCCGGAUAUUCUUUAAGCAUGUUAUGAUGUUAUAAGUAAUCUAAAUUACCUAGAUUACUCUUUAUCCUCUUGUGAUCGAUUGUCUUGCUUUGACAAGUGAUAGUUGUUCUAUGAUGUGAAUAGCUUAAAACGACUUCACUAUGUCUGGUUCCAUUUACCUUCUAUUUCCAUAGUUAUUUUUUCCUCAAUAAUCUAUUAUUAAUAUAACAAGAACUUCUAAAAUUGGAAGGAAAGUAUUGUGAAGAUCUCUUUUUUUUUUUCCUUGUUUAUCAUAUUCCUUGAAUGAGACAAAUUAAUGUUAUUUCUUUGACUACAGGACAGAAGCGUGCUCAUUCAAUCACUAUCAACGAAUCUUGAUUUUCCUAGAAACAAAGUAAGCAUGUGAAGUACAUCAAUAUGUUUUCCAAUUAAUGUUGUACCAUAUGGCAUGUUCAUAUUGGAUGAUGUGAUGAACUUCAUUCAACUUUGGCAACUAAGAAUGUUGUUUGAAUUUUUCGUCUUAUUAUUUAGAGGGUGUGCAAGUACAUUAAACAUCAGUUGUACCGUAACAUAAUCAAUUUAUUUGAUAUUUUAUACCAAGAAUCUGGUGCUUCUGUCUUUAUUGAUUUAAUUAAUACGUGCAAUAGUAGUAAUACUCAUGGGAAUUAAAGUAUUUUAAAAUUUUGAAUGUAUGAGAUAUUAUGGUUUUUUAGAUUGAAGCCAUAUGUAUAAGAAUAAACAAAGACACAGAAAAAUAGAAAAAGAAAAAACGGUAGCAUCAUUCAAAUUACCACAAAUUGUCAUAUUCUCUUUGUUUUGUUACAAAUUACAGUUGAGUUUGUGUUGUUGAAGCUGUUACCUUCUUUUGGGUGUUGUUUUUGGUUCAACAGCAGACAAAUAAAACCCAUUGCUAUUUUAAUCAGGUAAAGCUCUCGAUUUAUUGUCUCUGUGUAUUUUUUUCUUUAAUUAGCUUGUAUAUACAAGUAAUUGGUUGUGUGCUCUCUUCAGUAACAUUAAUUGAUUCUCUUGUUAGAUUUCUAGGCAGGAAAUUCAUGAUUAUUUAUAAAAUUUAAAAAUAACUAAUCAAUUUUUUUUUUUUUUAUGUAGUUUUCAUUUGCAGUUUAUAAUUUUAUUUUCCAAUUAAUUUACGCAAAUACGCUCAUGAUCUUAUGCUUAUAGACGAAAAUCUAUAAUGAACUAAAUAAAUAUGUUUUCAAGUUAGAAUUUGAUGUAUUGCUGUAGUUUUAAUGGUGAUUGGUGUACUCUACGCUAUUUCGCGAGAUUAGAGAAAAUGGGAAAAGAGCAACUACGAAGGGUUUCACUAUAUAAAUGAUAAUUCAAUUAAAAAGACAAUAAUUUCUGUAUACAGAAAGAGCUUCUUAGAUUGAAUCAAUAGGGACAUGAAUUAUUUAGCUGCAGUGUCUUUAUUGGUGCAUAUUUAAAUAAAUUGGAAGAGAAACAACAACAUAUGCCACAUUAACUGAAAUAUACAAUUACCAUAAUAUCAAUUUCUUAGUUUUCCAAAGUCUACUACUUGUAACAAAUUAUCAUCACAUAGCAAAAGAAUUGGUUAAUAUUUAUUUCAUUUGAUUUCAGAAUGGUGCUGCGAAUAAUGUAUAUAAUAUUUAUAUAUCUUAAAUUGCUUUUGACACCAUUGAAUUUGAGACCUCAAUUUAUUUGAAGUGUAAUUCAUGAUUGACAGCAUGCUCAAACUUGAAAAUUCUAUCUUUAUUUACAACCAAAUAGUGACAUUAGAAGUUAACCCGUGCAGAUGAAGGUUUUCUUUUCCAUAACAUCAUGUACUUCAGCUGCAGAAAUAUACUAAUGAGCUAAAACUAAUUUAUGAUCCUCAUUUUCCUUUCAACUAACAAAUGCUUUCUUUUUGGUUGACACCAAGAAUAUUUCUCAUCUCAAUCCAUGAAUUGAACAGUUCAAUUUGCUGAGGAGAAGUUGAAUAAGGUAAUAAUCAAUUGUGCGAUAAUUUCUAAGUAUCUCAGAUUUAUAUCAAUUUUAGUCUUUCUCCACUAUUGUAGAACAAUGUGAAGUUGCUUCUCACAUUUUUAUUUUGACACUGGCAUUGAGUACAAUAUGAAUUUAUUAAAUGUUUCGAAGAAAGAAAUUUUGGUUCUUGACAGGGCAAAAGCAAGGGACUGUUUUCAUUGUUGAUCAAUUAAAAUUUUAAACGUUGACAGUUUGGUUUCAAAGUUUUUAACUGUAACCAUUCUAUACAUCAUUUUCUUAAGGAGUAUACAAAUGCUAUAGGAUUUAGAUAUUUACAUGAGAAAUGCACUAAUAAAAGGUUAAGCUAACAAAAAAUUUGAAGCAAGAACCUGAACAUUGAUCUUCUUGUUCAUUGAGUAUCGUCGAUGCUUUUUUCCCUUUGAACUUGGCAUAGAGUAUUUUGUUGGUCAUGCAGCAAGGGUUCUACUAUAGAUGAAUUGAAGAAGGAAAACAAUAUUCGGUAUUCUGUUGAAGAAUAGCAAGCUUAAAUGAAGAGUUUAUAUCUCAUGAAUCUCCAUCAUUUGGGUUUGAUUUCACAGUAAGAAAAUAGAGUAGAAGCUGCUUGAUUACAAUCAAGAAGCUGAAAGGUUUGGAGGUAUUGAAUUUUUCCUUUAGUUCUGUUUACACUUUAUGUUUGCAUAAUUUUCUUUGCAUUAAGUGGUAUGUCACUCUUAUUAAGAUCAUUCGAGGUUAUGCUUAUAAGGAAUUAUCAAAACUGUCACCUGAUCAACGGCAUGUUGCGUACACUAUGUAUGAUAGAUUUUGGUUCGCUAUCUAAUAGGCCCCAAGCUAAUUGGAUAGAUUGGUAUUGUUGGUUUUGCUAUAACGGCUGGAUUUGUUUCCAUUGGAUAGCUUGAGAUGAAAUUAAUGUUUGAUUGUUUUUCGAUUAUGUUGUAGCAUGCUUGGCUUGGGAUGACACUGGUUUGGGAGUGUAAGGCAAAAGCCCAUUGCAUUAUUAAGCAUCAUCAAGGGUGUCUUACUAUUUCAUUAAUUUUGGAAGUUGGUAAAUAGUAUAUACUUUCAUUCAACUUCCUAAGUAGUGAUUAAUUUUCCAUUGAUUCCACUAUUUUCUACAAGGCACGUGCUGGAAUCACAUAAGUUCGCUUUCCCUCAUUUAAUUUAACAAACAAAAGGAUAGUUCUAGCGUACAUAAAUGCAGCUGGAAAAUUGCAUCAAGUGAACGAAGGCACACCGGAGGUAAAAUCCAGCUGGUAAAAUGCUCAAACUUUGUAAUUGUUCUUAUGCUUGUGCCAUAAACUUCUUGUUAAUAAAUGUUCUCCAGCCACACACAUGACACUUGAUGGUCCCAUUUAUGCAAAAUGAAUACAUCACCCUCAACUUAAUAGAUCAAGUACUCAAAAUUCAC
Molecule: long non-coding RNA, 4171 nt
Filed under: Olea europaea subsp. europaea
Lineage: Eukaryota; Viridiplantae; Streptophyta; Magnoliopsida; Lamiales; Oleaceae
Source: RNAcentral